This 253-nucleotide ribosomal RNA is filed under the name uncultured bacterium. Its description in RNAcentral is "partial 16S ribosomal RNA". It matches the Rfam family "Bacterial small subunit ribosomal RNA", at positions 524 to 776 of the family's 1533-position model. The record is from RNAcentral.
UACGUAGGGUGCAAGCGUUGUCCGGAAUUAUUGGGCGUAAAGAGCUCGUAGGCGGUUUGUUGCGUCGGCUGUGAAAUCCCGAGGCUCAACCUCGGGUCUGCAGUCGAUACGAGCAAACUAGAGUGUUGCAGGGGAGACUGGAAUUCCUGGUGUAGCGGUGAAAUGCGCAGAUAUCAGGAGGAACACCGGUGGCGAAGGCGGCUUUCUGGACAGAAACUGACGCUGAGGCGCGAAAGCUAGGGGAGCAAACAGG